RNAcentral lists this ribosomal RNA (23 nucleotides) under Tricholoma caligatum. RNAcentral describes it as "partial 28S ribosomal RNA". The record is from RNAcentral. Lineage: Eukaryota; Fungi; Basidiomycota; Agaricomycetes; Agaricales; Tricholomataceae.
UUUGACCUCAAAUCCAGGUAGGA